UGUUUCCUGCCUUGUGCGACAGGUAUGGCGUCUAUAAAUCCAACACUUACGAAAAGGGAUUCCGGAUCUCGCGGCAGAUUGCAGACCUCCCGCUCUGGCGGACGAAGGGAGCGUGAAACCGCGAGGAGGUUUUACCCACCCUGUCUUAGGACGGGUUUAAUAAGCCAUACCACCGGCAAGGCGGGUUACUU
This 191-nucleotide non-coding RNA is filed under the name Ligaoa zhengdingensis. RNAcentral's name for it is "6S / SsrS RNA". It matches the Rfam family "6S / SsrS RNA". Rfam says of the family: E. coli 6S RNA was the first non coding RNA to be sequenced, but its function was unknown until recently. It consists of 184 nucleotides that fold into an extended hairpin structure with a large single-stranded internal bulge. The 6S RNA specifically associates with RNA polymerase holoenzyme containing the sigma70 specificity factor. The record is from Rfam by way of RNAcentral. Lineage: Bacteria; Bacillati; Bacillota; Clostridia; Eubacteriales; Oscillospiraceae.